UCCACUUCCCGUCUUGAAUCACCU
RNAcentral lists this non-coding RNA (24 nucleotides) under Arabidopsis thaliana (thale cress). The record is from RNAcentral. Lineage: Eukaryota; Viridiplantae; Streptophyta; Magnoliopsida; Brassicales; Brassicaceae.